CGAGGGUCAUGGCGGUGAGAAGGAUGAGGCUUCCAUAGAUGCCUACGAAAUAGGCCCCGGUCAUGAUCUUACAGGCAACAUCUCCAAAGACCCAGUGAUGAAGAAGCUCCACGCACCAGAAAGGCAAUGUGAGUGUGAACAGAAGGUCAAAAAGAGCCAAACAGAACAUGAAAAGGUUGGUGGCCCUGUUCAGGUCUUCGUAGCAGGUGAACGCAAACACGAGGAGGCCAUUUCCCAGCAUGCUGAGGCAGAAGAUUGUGGCGUAGCACACGCCGGUCGUUUUUUCAUAGUAAUCGACCUCACACAUU
Long non-coding RNA from Carassius gibelio (silver crucian carp), 308 nucleotides. RefSeq lists it as uncharacterized. Lineage: Eukaryota; Metazoa; Chordata; Actinopteri; Cypriniformes; Cyprinidae. The record is from RefSeq and is a predicted model, not a curated record. The transcript has 2 exons.